RNAcentral lists this ribosomal RNA (442 nucleotides) under uncultured bacterium. RNAcentral describes it as "partial 16S ribosomal RNA". It matches the Rfam family "Bacterial small subunit ribosomal RNA", at positions 338 to 795 of the family's 1533-position model. The record is from RNAcentral.
CCUACGGGAGGCAGCAGUAGGGAAUCUUUCACAAUGGGCGAAAGCCUGAUGGAGCAACGCCGCGUGCAGGAUGAAGGCCUUCGGGUUGUAAACUGCUUUUAUAAGCGGGAAAUAUGAUGGUAACUUAUGAAUAAGGAUCGGCUAACUACGUGCCAGCAGCCGCGGUCAUACGUAGGAUCCGAGCAUUAUCCGGAGUGACUGGGUGUAAAGAGUUGCGUAGGUGGCAUAAUAAGUAGCUAGUGAAAUCUGGUGGCUCAACCAUUCAGACUAUUAGCUAAACUGUUAAGCUCGAGACCGUUAGGGGUAACUGGAAUUUCUAGUGUAGGAGUGAAAUGCGUAGAUAUUAGAAGGAACACCAAUAGCGUAGGCAGGUUACUGGGACGGUUCUGACACUAAGGCACGAAAGCGUAGGGAGCAAACGGGAUUAGAUACCCGAGUAGUC